AUCGUACGACGUAGUUUGAUCCUGGCUCAGAACGAACGCUGGCGGCAGGCCUAACACAUGCAAGUCGAGCGCCCCGCAAGGGGAGUGGCGGACGGGUUAGUAACGCGUGGGAAUGUACCCUUUUCUACGGAAUAGCCUCGGGAAACUGAGAUUAAUACCGUAUACGCCCGGUAAACGGGGAAAGAUUUAUCGGAGAAGGAUCAGCCCGCGUAAGAUUAGAUAGUUGGUGGGGUAAUGGCCUACCAAGUCUACGAUCUUUAGCUGGUUUGAGAGGAUGAUCAGCAACACUGGGACUGAGACACGGCCCAGACUCCUACGGGAGGCAGCAGUGGGGAAUCUUAGACAAUGGGCGCAAGCCUGAUCUAGCCAUGCCGCGUGAGUGAAGAAGGCCUUAGGGUCGUAAAGCUCUUUCAGUGGGGAAGAUAAUGACGGUACCCACAGAAGAAACCCCGGCUAACUCCGUG
This 464-nucleotide ribosomal RNA is filed under the name uncultured bacterium. RNAcentral describes it as "bacterial SSU rRNA". It matches the Rfam family "Bacterial small subunit ribosomal RNA", at positions 1 to 507 of the family's 1533-position model. The record is from RNAcentral.